This 497-nucleotide ribosomal RNA is filed under the name uncultured bacterium. RNAcentral's name for it is "partial 16S ribosomal RNA". It matches the Rfam family "Bacterial small subunit ribosomal RNA", at positions 28 to 507 of the family's 1533-position model. The record is from RNAcentral.
GAUGAACGCUGGCGGCGUGCCUAAUACAUGCAAGUCGAGCGAACAGACGAGGAGCUUGCUCCUCUGACGUUAGCGGCGGACGGGUGAGUAACACGUGGAUAACCUACCUAUAAGACUGGGAUAACUUCGGGAAACCGGAGCUAAUACCGGAUAAUAUAUUGAACCGCAUGGUUCAAUAGUGAAAGACGGUUUUGCUGUCACUUAUAGAUGGAUCCGCGCCGCAUUAGCUAGUUGGUAAGGUAACGGCUUACCAAGGCAACGAUGCGUAGCCGACCUGAGAGGGUGAUCGGCCACACUGGAACUGAGACACGGUCCAGACUCCUACGGGAGGCAGCAGUAGGGAAUCUUCCGCAAUGGGCGAAAGCCUGACGGAGCAACGCCGCGUGAGUGAUGAAGGUCUUCGGAUCGUAAAGCUCUGUUAUUAGGGAAGAACAAAUGUGUAAGUAUCUAUGCACGUCUUGACGGUACCUAAUCAGAAAGCCACGGCUAACUACGUG